Molecule: ribosomal RNA, 508 nt
Filed under: Notospermus sp. MCZ IZ 132528
Lineage: Eukaryota; Metazoa; Nemertea; Pilidiophora; Heteronemertea; Lineidae
Description: partial 16S ribosomal RNA
Rfam family: Bacterial large subunit ribosomal RNA
Source: RNAcentral
AGCCUGUUGAUUUUUAUAAUAGGUGUUUUCUGCCCGGUGUUGUUUUAAACGGCCGCGGUAUUUUGACCGUGCAAAGGUAGCAUAAUCAUUUGCCCUUUAAUUGGGGGCUGGUAUGAAAGGAAGGUCGAGAUUCUUGCUGUCUCCAUUCUUUUGUUGGAAUUUGCUGUUUUUGUGAAGAAGCAAAGGUCUUAUAAAAAGACAAGAAGACCCUAUCAAGCUUUAUUUUUUUUCUUUGUUUGAAAUGAAUGUUGGAAGAAUAUUUUGGUAAGGUUGAAAAAUUUGGUUGGGGUGAUCGGAGAAGAAAGAAUCUUCUUUGAGUUGUUAAACGAUUCGUUGAAAAAAGAUCCAAGAAAUUUUGAUUGAUAGAAUUAGUUACUGUAGGGAUAACAGCGUAAUCUUUUCGGAGAGUUCUUAUUGGAGAAAAGGUUUGCGACCUCGAUGUUGACUUGUUGUUUCCUUUUAAGGUGUAGCAGCUGGAAGGGUUAGUCUGUUCGACUAUUAAAACGAU